RNAcentral lists this long non-coding RNA (211 nucleotides) under Ananas comosus (pineapple). RNAcentral's name for it is "long non-coding RNA (ACOM_LNC024477)". Lineage: Eukaryota; Viridiplantae; Streptophyta; Magnoliopsida; Poales; Bromeliaceae. The record is from RNAcentral.
UAUAAAGAUAUAAUAUUUUAUUUUCUAAUAAUACUGUAAAAAUAUAUCCCAAUUUAUUGAGUAGGGUUACUGUACUAUUAAGAGCACAACAGCUCGUGUGCUUCUAAAUUUCUAACCAUAUUUUUUCUCUCUCAUUCUAAUCAUCUAUCAAAAUUGAUAAUAGAUAGUUAAAACUUAUAAGCACACGGAUUGUUGUACUCCUAAUCCUACG